GCCCUGCCCACCAGCUUCCCCUGAUAACAUGUGCACCAAAGGCCAUGGAACCAACUGCAUUUCAGCAGCACCUCCCAGAGGUGGCCCUAGAAGACAGAGCUUCUGGAGGGACAUUUUUCAACCAAGGCUUUGGGGGCGAGGAGAAGUCAGAGGUUUGGAUCUGCAGCGACCCUGGAUACGGGCAAGUGGCUUAGAAGGAAGUAAGGACACUGAGAUUAUUCUUUUCCAAUGGGUGGAAGACACUGGAGUGCUAGCUCGCCUUGUGUUGCAACAUUGGAUGCUUACGCCUACCUUUAGUAGCCUUGUACUCUCCCUUCAAAAAUCACUUGGGGGAGUCCUGGGGGUGGAGCCUGAAGACAAAGGAGCUAAGCUGGUAAUAUGA
This 382-nucleotide long non-coding RNA is filed under the name Cricetulus griseus (Chinese hamster). Its description in RNAcentral is "lncRNA (ENSCGRG00000025224.1)". Lineage: Eukaryota; Metazoa; Chordata; Mammalia; Rodentia; Cricetidae. The record is from RNAcentral.